AAUAAAAAUGGAUUUCAUUCAGUAAAGAUAGAAGUGUACAAUAAAGUUGAUUGAAUGAUUUUGACUUUAUCGUCUCUACGCUUUUUGCACUAACUUACCAGGCACUAUAAUCGUAUCAUUCUUCAUCCAGUAAUUAAUGGACUUGGGAAACGCCUCUGAUUGGCAUUCCAGGGAAAUGUUCUGUGCAAGUGCGGCACCAACUAAUUGAUUUUGUAUCCAAAUCAUUGGCGGAACUGUAAAAGGAUAAAAGGAGGAAUAACACCAAAGCUCGUAAAGUAUGCGUAAAAAGAACAAAGAGCAAGGAUGGGAGUUAACUGAGUACCGGAGAACGACGUUUAAUGGCGGAAUGUAAUUGUAAUGGCAGGUCAGCUGUCAUCAUGCCGAAAAAAAACUAAGCGAAAUAUAUGCCAAGGUGGCCAAAAAGUAAAUGCUAGUAAAAAUCAAUAGCAAUCGCACAGCGAGUCGAGAAAUGUUUGCCAAGAAAGUGAUGAUUGGUAGUAAGUAAGAAAUUGACAGUUUGAAGUAUAUUUAGACUACCAACCAAAGAAAAGUGGCAAGUCGAAGUUUCUGGGAAUUGGCCAUCUUUCAUUUCCUUAUCAUUAAGCCCUCGAAAUGCUUAUGAACAUACUUCAAAUUGAGCUAUUUCUGUUUGCCACUUGAUUGCACUCACCUUUUUGAGGAAUGCCGCAAUACACUGCGCUCCAUUUGCGUGAGGCAGUGAGAGAUGGAGAAAGUGAAAGAGAAAGAGAAAGAGAGAGACAGAGAAAGAGCGACGGAGACGGCAAAUAGGCCAAGCGAACCUCAAAACUUCAUUAGCCAAAAAGCACGCGCCGAAAUUGAAGCGACAGCACCAACAACAACAACAAUAACCAAAGAUGUAUGCAGAUUGGAGAAAGAAGAAAAAUCGACAGAGAAAGAGAAAGAGAGAAUCUUUGGGACGUCGGAGGCCAUAAAUUGCACGGCGGCAAAAAUAAAUGUAAAGUAAAUGGCGCUAAUUCAAAGUAGAUUUAUUUAUUAUGCCAUUUUACUUGCGGCAGCUCGCCAAGAAAUAUGCUUUAAAUUUUCACAGACCAUUGUCAGUCUCCCUGUCUCUCUCUCUCUCUUUUCAUCUCAUUCCUUCUGUUUUGGCGCACGGUAGGCGUAGUCGAACAACAAACGAAAACAAAUGAAAAUAAAUGUUCAAAAAAAAAUUAUGCAACAAAAACAAUAAAGUUGCCGAAGAAAAACUGUAGCUCCUGGCACUGCCAUUUAUGGGAAAAACUCUCAAGCUUUCUCUUCUUCAUUUUUUUUUUUUGCUGUGCAAGUACACGAACAUUUUAAUUUACGCAUCCUGUGGCGCCUCCUUUGAGAAGCAACGCACCUGCUGCGACAGACAGCCCAUCGUACGUUCAGCAUCUCAGUUGCUGCCACAGCCGCGGGCUGAGACAGUGAGAGAGACGAGAGGAAGAGAGAGGCGCCUGGACGUCUGCUGUUGAUUUUAGCCAUAAUGCUAACGCAUUUAAGCCAAUUUUCGUGUCAGCUCUCAAUGAUUUAUUAGCCCAAAAACUGUAGACAGCUUAGCACCCGGAUACGCAGUCGGAUACGGUUACAGAUACUGAGUAUAGGGAACGCUGCAUGGGAUCUCCACAAACACUCAAGUAGGUGUCAACAACUGCCUCCAAGUUGCACAAAUUUGUCUACAAUUUGCUUUUGUUUGCGCCUAAUGAUUAUAAUUACGACAAAUUUCGACAAAUUUUCAGUUACAACAGCAAAUUGGACUCAACUUAGGUGGGAGAUGUAGAACAAAGGACAGAAUUUUCUAUUUUAAUGUUUAAAGGAAUGUUGAUGCCAUUUAAUCUAUUACAUUCUGAUUUUUUUU
This is a long non-coding RNA of Drosophila sulfurigaster albostrigata, 1858 nucleotides long. RefSeq lists it as uncharacterized. Lineage: Eukaryota; Metazoa; Arthropoda; Insecta; Diptera; Drosophilidae. The record is from RefSeq and is a predicted model, not a curated record. The transcript is spliced from 4 exons.